This 69-nucleotide transfer RNA is filed under the name Marmota monax (woodchuck). Its description in RNAcentral is "tRNA.Ala". Lineage: Eukaryota; Metazoa; Chordata; Mammalia; Rodentia; Sciuridae. The record is from RNAcentral.
GCAGGGGGCUCAGUGGCAGAGCGCUCGCCUAGCAUGCGUGAGGCACUGGGUUCCAUCCUCAGCACCACA